Molecule: ribosomal RNA, 821 nt
Filed under: uncultured delta proteobacterium
Lineage: Bacteria; Deltaproteobacteria
Description: bacterial SSU rRNA
Rfam family: Bacterial small subunit ribosomal RNA
Source: RNAcentral
AACGAGAAUGUAGGCUUCGGUCUACUAGUAAAGUGGCAGACGGGUGCGUAACACGUGGGUAAUCUACCUUCCGGCGGGGGACAACAGUCCGAAAGGAUUGCUAAUACCGCAUACGUCAGCGGUGCCUACGGGCACUGUUGGGAAAGAUGGCCUCUCCUUGGAAGCUAUCACCGGAAGAUGAGCCCGCGCCCCAUCAGCUAGUUGGUGAGGUAACGGCUCACCAAGGCUUAGACGGGUAGCUGGUCUGAGAGGAUGAUCAGCCACACUGGGACUGCGACACGGCCCAGACUCCUACGGGAGGCAGCAGUGGGGAAUAUUGGGCAAUGGGCGCAAGCCUGACCCAGCCACGCCGCGUGAGUGAUGAAGGCCUUCGGGUCGUAAAGCUCUGUGGGGAGGGACGAACAAAUCUGGGGCUAAUCACCCGGAUCCUGACGGUACCUCCUUAGCAAGCACCGGCUAACCCUGUGCCAGCAGCCGCGGUAAUACAGGGGGUGCAAACGUUGCUCGGAAUCAUUGGGCGUAAAGCGCACGUAGGCGGUCUGUUAUGUCGGAUGUGAAAGCCCUUGGCUCAACUGAGGAAGUGCAUCCGAAACUGGCAGGCUAGAGUACUAAAGAGGGUCGCGGAAUUCCCGGUGUAGAGGUGAAAUUCGUAGAUAUCGGGAGGAACACCGGUUGGCGAAGGCGGCGACCUGGGUAGAUACUGACGCUGAGGUGCGAAAGCGUGGGGAGCAACAGGAUUAGAUACCCUGGUAGUCCACGCCGUAAACGAUGAGUGCUAGAUGUUUCUGGUAUUGACCCCGGAGGCGUCUUAACUAACGCGU